This 169-nucleotide unclassified non-coding RNA is filed under the name plant metagenome. RNAcentral's name for it is "partial contains small subunit ribosomal RNA and internal transcribed spacer 1". The stretch from base 1 to 46 matches the Rfam family "Eukaryotic small subunit ribosomal RNA", at positions 1786 to 1831 of the family's 1831-position model. The record is from RNAcentral.
AAGUCGUAACAAGGUUUUCGUAGGUGAACCUGCGGAAGGAUCAUUAAUGAAGCACAAGAGCGCACUUUACUGUGGCUCGACCCCUUCAUAUCCAUCACCCUGUGAACUGUAAUACCUUUUUUAGACUCUACAAGUCAAAGAAUGUACCACUUUAAAUAAAGUAACAAAA